AGGCGGCGUUGUUUCCGAACCGAAGUUUAAAUUAGAUCGGAUGUCCAGUAGUGUUUGUCAAUCAUACUGUAUGAGAGUCUGUACUGUCUGAGCAAAAGUAUGUAUAAGAAGUAACACGAAUAACACAAAAUAACACAAAAAACAACAAAGUUUGCACAGAGCGCUCGUCAGCAACGCCAUCGUAGCAGCAACGCUGGAAGUGUAAUGGUAUUUGUAAUGGUAUUUGUAGUAAAAUCAUGGUGACCACGACACUUACAAUAGGAACAAAUGAAAUUUGAAGUUAAAACCCAGUAAACAGGAGAUUUACCAUGUUUUUACCAAAGUAACUGUAGUUUUACUAUGGUAUAGUAAUAGCACAAUAAUCACCAAACUAACUAUGGUUGUACCACUGUAAUGGUAGUUUUGAUGUGCUUUUAUAUGACAGAUACCUCAGUAAUCACAUUUACUGUACCAUGCUUGUAAUAUCUUUUGAUGUAAAAUCCAAAAAAUGUAAAAAUAAAUAGAUAAAUAAAAUAAAUAAAACCUUAUUUUUUCCAUCUUGCAGUUCAUUCAUAUCAGUUUGUAUCUUAAAUAUUUUACUCACAGAUCAUUAUUAACAUUCUGUAUAUAAUUCUAUUUUAUUUUCUCUCCCCUUUUUUAUUUAUUUAUUUAUUUUUUAGCUGAAAAGACGUAAUGGAAGCAGUCAGUCCAGUCGUGUUUGUGGAGAGGUAUUACUUCAGAAAUGGACAAGACAGAAAGCUGUGGAGGCACAUGUUUGCAGCGGUAGAUCUGUGAUUGCUUGCAGAUAACGCUGUCCUUCUCCAUCCUGCACAAGGACUCACCUCUUUAACUCUUUAUCCCCCCCACACAGAAAUGGUCCCUGGAUCAGUGUUUAGACUUUGCAGUGGUUUGAUUUUUGCAGAAGAUGUAACUUUGUUUUAAUUAUAAGCUUACAAUGAAUACAUUUUGACCUUCCAGCAACCCAUAUACUGUAAACAGAACCAGUAAUGAAAACACUAGUUAAAUUUUUUUUAAUUUUUUAAAAAGUUUUUUUUUUUUUUUGAUAAAACAUUGUGUUCUCUUUUUCAAGCUUCAUACAGUAAACUUUAGUUGGUGUCUUCCUAAUGCUUUUAUUAUAAAAAGCAUCAGUUCUCAUCAGGAGUUUUAGUAAAGGACACAUUCAUGCACAGCCAUCCCCUAGUUCCAGUCAUGAAGCAUUCAUGAUGCUAUUGUCAAAGGUAUAUUUUUGCAUUUUUAUGUAGCAGGUGUUUGUUUUUCCUGAACACUUUUUUUCUGUCUUCCAUUGUUUGAAUAAUCAAUGUUUAUUUAAUGCUGUGCUGAUAGAGUUUUAUA
Cyprinus carpio (common carp) is the source of this 1332-nucleotide long non-coding RNA. The record is from Ensembl. NCBI's taxonomy places the organism in Eukaryota, Metazoa, Chordata, Actinopteri, Cypriniformes, Cyprinidae.